UCCCCUCCAGAGAGACCUGAGCCUCUCCCUCCUCCCCUACAGAGACCUGAGCCUCUCCCUCCUCCCCUACAGAGACCUGAGCCUCUCCCUCCUCCCCUACAGAGAUCUGAGCCUCUCCCUCCUUCCCUACAGAGAGGUCUGAGCCUCCCCCAGUCCUCCAGCAGGAGAGGAGGAGAGACUCACACUACUACUACUACUACUACUACUGAGAACCAUCCCACACAAACCAAGCCAGAGAAAGAGAGCGACAGAGGAAACGAGGUCUCCCUCUCUCCCUUUGGCCUGCCUCCCUCUACGCCUCCCUCCCUCCACUCCUCAUUCCCUGCCUCCCUCCCUCCCUCCACUCCUCAUUCCCUGCCUCCCUCCACUCCUCGUCUCCCUCCCUGCCUCCCUCCACUCCUCCUUGUCUCCCUCCCUGUCUGCCUCCCUCCCUCCACUCCUCCCUCCCUCUACUCAUCCCUGUCUGCCUCCCUCCACUCCUCCUUGCCUCCCUCCCUCUACUCCUCCCUCCCUGUCUGCCUCUCUCCUUGUCUGCAUCCCUCCACUCCUCUCUCCUUGUCUGCAUCCCUCCACUCCUCUCUCCUUGUCUGCCUCCCUCCACUCCUCUCUCCUUGUCUGCCUCCCUCCUCGCCUCCCUCCACUCCUCCUUGUCUGCCUCCCUCCACUCCUCUCUCCUUGUCUGCCUCCCUCCACUCCUCUCUCCUUGUCUGCAUCCCUCCACUCCUCCCUCCACACCUCCCACUACUCCUCCCUCCACUCCUACCAACAAAAACAAUAAUGUCAUUGGGACAGCUUGGUCCACUGUCCAAAUGGAUGGUCCUUUUUUCUUUUGAAAUAGAAAAACAAAAUGAACAAACAGAAGUCCUUUGGUUGCCCAGUCGGUUCUUCUUCUUCUGUUUUUAAAGUUCAGUAGUGCUUAUUUGAGGAGGGAAACGCUCCAUGGUAAAAAGGGACCCGUUGAUGCAUUAAGGCUUUCACAGACGUGUGAUCGAGACGAGCUCCGCAUUCAGGAUGGAAGGACCUGUGAACCUGUUGGUUGUGUGAUUUUGGACCCUUGGUGGUUAAGGGAGGAGAGAGAGGGAGAGAGAGAGAGAGAGCAAGGCUUGCCCAUUCAACCCAUGAACCAUAGUGGCAGAGGCACCAGUUUAGUCUAGAAAUGCACAUUUGAUCCAUCCCUCCUUUCGGGAAACUUUAAAGCACCCACAGAGACUUGGGAUGGUUGGAACAAACCGUGCUCUAUAAUACCCUAUUGGAUAUAAGCAGUACGUAACCCACUGGUCUCGCCUUCGUUCCAUUGGUCGUCUGUGGAUAUUUCUGGAAUAAAGAGCAGCUUAGCCAGUCGUUGACUACAGUCCCCUCCCACCCCACCCCAACCACCUCCCUGUACACUAGAUGUAAGCCCAGGAAGAGGAGCCAGCUUACAUGUUACUGUAAAAUAAAUGUCCCCCAACAAUAUUGAUUUGGACAGUUCACCAAAUGCUUUGAGAAUGUUCUUUUCUCUCGUCAUUCUUUGUGAGUCAUUUCAGUUGUUCUUACUCUUUGCCUCGGCUGUUGUGUCACGUUUCAAGGACUCCAUCGAUGUUCUUUCUGGUCUGAGACACUCCUUGGAUUAAAAUCCGAACCACUAGUAAAUGGACUGUUACAGUCGGUAAGGUCUGGCCGUUAGCUGGACAACACACCACUUUUUUUUUUUUGUGUGUUUUUUUUUUUCAAAGCCAGAUGUUUGCAUCUGUUACCAGUCUCACUGUGGCUUUACUCAGUCUUUUAGUAUUUCUUAUCUUUUAAAAGCUGUAUUUUCUAUUUCUCGCGGAAUGAGUUUGACAGAAACGUACUGUUUUUGUUUUUGAAGGAGCCAGUUACCAAUGAGAGCCCUGUCUUUCUCUAGUCAGGUUACAAUGGCCAGCAUUGUGAUAGUAUUCAUUUGCCACUUUCGUUUUCUUAAUAAUGAACAAAAUUCGAUUUUUAAGUGUUUUAAUUACGUGUAUAAUAUGUGUUUUGAACUAAAUGGGAUGUUCUUGUAUCAAGAAGAACACACUUAAUAAUUAGGGCUCAAGUGGUCUUUUGUUUCACGCAUAAAGCUGAUAUGUGUGGUCUUCUAAACAGUCUGCUUUUUUUUGUUGGUAUUUUCAAAAACUAAUUAAUUUAAUAAAGUGUUCCUGAUGUUUUGCCUGCCCAUUGGCAUAGGGGGGGGGGGGGCUAUAACUAAUAACACCCCCAUCUCCUCAGUUUUCUCCAAACUCUUACACAAUUCCCUCCAAACCUUGUGGUUGUGUUCACCAUAUCAAAAAUGUUUUGCAACAGGGAACAACUGAAAGCUGUGUUCAGUUUAGUACCUUCCAGGUUUCAAAAACGUUCGCUCUCUGUUGAACACGACCCACAUUACACACUCCAAACUAUCAGGAAACACACACCUUCUGCGAUAGUGGGGUUUUUUUUCAAACACUUUAGUCUUUUUUGAUUGUUUUUGUCUUACUGCCUCAACUGUGCUACAACCAACUGUGAUCAAACCACUCAUUGAUACGACUUUUAGUUUGUUGUUGCUUGUCGUUCUUUUACCCACACAUGGUUGAUAUUGAUGGUAUUAAUAUUGAGAAUGGGUUUUUUUGUUUUGUUUUUUUGUACAACAGUAUUUGUCUUAAAUGGCAUCCUGGGUUGCUCCUUUUCGACAUAAGCUUUUUAAACUCUGCCUAGAUAAUCAUGUCAACUCUGGAGAACCUUGUUUUCUUUUCUAGCAUUCCUGGUACUGAUGUAUUCUAUCGCUGUAGUUUAAGCAUCACGUUUCAACAUAAUUUAGUUGAUCUUUCUAUGCUUGGCAGAGGUUGUUUCCUCAGAGCAGCUCUUGGUGCCCUUUGGGUGGAAAACAGCCCUUUUAUUUUCUCUUUGUCUAAUUGCUCAUUUAAGGCCUGGAGACUAUUCUGACCCUUCUCUCCCCACAAUAAUUGACCAAUAAUACAUUUCAGUGUUGUAUUUUUCAGAAAAUCUUUUUUUUUUUAAAUGGUCAAAUCAAUGUAAAAGAAAAAGAGAUGGAUUGUGUUAUUGCACUGCUUAUAUAUUGUGAUCAUGCUAGUAGCUUAGCUAGUUCAACUAGACCAAACGUCCGUUCAAAAACGAUGCUUGUAAAAUGCUCCCACGUUACAGCUUGUUUUGUUCUGCCUGCAUCAUGGUAACCUACACCUGUACUUCUACAUCUGAACUGUGGCGUGUAAAUAUCUUCAGAUGGUCAUGAUAAAAAAAAAUACAUUGUUAACUAAUAUGAUUUGUCUGUGUAUUAACAUUUUAAUGUGAGAUCAAGUUCAGUCCUGUAAUUGUUUUCAACAUGGGCUCCUUUUUUAAGACAGCCGCGGAUUCCUUCCAGCUAUGAGAUACUGUUCAACCAGCUGUCGCUCAGCUGGGAUUUGUAGAUGUUUAAAUGUUGUUUUGAUUUGCAACUCUUCUCUCCUGGAUGGAGUUUGGGUUAUUCUACUUUGAAUGAUUUGUCAUCCCACCAUUAAACAAAACUUAAGUUGA
This is a long non-coding RNA of Oncorhynchus masou masou (cherry salmon), 3507 nucleotides long. RefSeq lists it as uncharacterized. The transcript has 2 exons. The record is from RefSeq and is a predicted model, not a curated record. Lineage: Eukaryota; Metazoa; Chordata; Actinopteri; Salmoniformes; Salmonidae.